UACAUGGGGUGCAAACGUUGUCCGGAAUUAUUGGGCGUAAAGAGCUCGUAGGCGGUUCGGCAAGUCGGAUGUGAAAUCUCCACGCUUAACGUGGAGGGGCCAUUCGAAACUGCCGUGACUCGAGUCCGGUAGGGGAGUGCGGAAUUCCCGGUGUAGCGGUGAAAUGCGCAGAUAUCGGGAGGAACACCGGUGGCGAAGGCGGCGAUCUGGGUAGAUACUGACGCUGAGGUGCGAAAGCGUGGGGAGCAAACAGG
This 254-nucleotide ribosomal RNA is filed under the name uncultured bacterium. Its description in RNAcentral is "partial 16S ribosomal RNA". It matches the Rfam family "Bacterial small subunit ribosomal RNA", at positions 524 to 776 of the family's 1533-position model. The record is from RNAcentral.